Cotesia glomerata is the source of this 68-nucleotide small nucleolar RNA. The record is from RefSeq and is a predicted model, not a curated record. NCBI's taxonomy places the organism in Eukaryota, Metazoa, Arthropoda, Insecta, Hymenoptera, Braconidae.
UCAACAUGAUGUUAAUAUUACCGCCCCAGUCUGAAUUUUCAUGACUGAUUGGUCUUUACUGAUUUUUU